GACGAACGCUGGCGGCGUGCCUAAUACAUGCAAGUCGAACGCAUUUUCUUUCACCGUAGCUUGCUACACCGAAAGAAAAUGAGUGGCGAACGGGUGAGUAGCACGUGUGUAACCUGCCCAUCAGCGGGGGAUAACACUUGGAAACAGGUGCUAAUACCGCAUAAUUCCAUUUACCGCAUGGUAAAUGGAUGAAAGGCGCUUUUGCGUCACUGAUGGAUGGACCCGCGGUGCAUUAGCUAGUUGGUGGGGUAACGGCCUACCAAGGCUGCGAUGCAUAGCCGACCUGAGAGGGUGAUCGGCCACACUGGGACUGAGACACGGCCCAGACUCCUACGGGAGGCAGCAGUAGGGAAUCUUCGGCAAUGGACGCAAGUCUGACCGAGCAACGCCGCGUGAGUGAAGAAGGUUUUCGGAUCGUAAAACUCUGUUGUUAGAGAAGAACAAGGAUGAGAGUGGAAAGUUCAUCCCUUGACGGUAUCUAACCAGUAAGCCACGGCUAACUACGUG
RNAcentral lists this ribosomal RNA (507 nucleotides) under uncultured bacterium. Its description in RNAcentral is "partial 16S ribosomal RNA". It matches the Rfam family "Bacterial small subunit ribosomal RNA", at positions 28 to 507 of the family's 1533-position model. The record is from RNAcentral.